CCUACGGGAGGCAGCAGUGAGGAAUAUUGGUCAAUGGGCGCGAGCCUGAACCAGCCAAGUCGCGUGAGGGAAGACGGCCCUACGGGUUGUAAACCUCUUUUGCCGGGGAGCAACGGGCGCCACGUGUGGCGCCACUGAGAGUACCCGGCGAACAAGCAUCGGCUAACUCCGUGCCAGCAGCCGCGGUAAUACGGGGGAUGCGAGCGUUAUCCGGAGUUAUUGGGUUUAAAGGGUGCGUAGGCGGAGCGUUAAGUCAGUGGUCAAAUUGGGGGGCUCAAACCCUUCCCGCCAUGGAACCUGGCGCGCUUGAGUGGAAGAGAGGUAUGCGGAAUGCGUGGUGUAGCGGUGAAAUGCAUAGAUAUCACGCAGAACCCCGAUUGCGAAGGCAGCAUGCCGGCUUCCUACUGACGCUGAAGCACGAAAGCGUGGGGAGCGAACAGGAUUAGAUACCCGAGUAGUC
RNAcentral lists this ribosomal RNA (460 nucleotides) under uncultured bacterium. RNAcentral describes it as "partial 16S ribosomal RNA". It matches the Rfam family "Bacterial small subunit ribosomal RNA", at positions 338 to 795 of the family's 1533-position model. The record is from RNAcentral.